ACUUCAUUACUCACACCUGCUCCUCAUCAUUACACACACCUGGCAGCCUUCAUUACUCACACCUGCUCCUCAUCAUUACACACACCUGGCAACCUUCACUAUUCACACCUGCUCCUCAUCAUUUCUCACACCUGGCAACCUUCAUUACUCACACCUGCUCCUCAUCAUCAGACACACCUGGCAACCUUCAUUAUUCACACCUGCUCCUCAUCAUCAGACACACCUGGCAACCUUCAUUAUUCACACCUGCUCCUCAUCAUCAGACACACCUGGCAACCUUCACUAUUCACACCUGCUCCUCAUCAUCAGACACACCUGGCAACCUUCAUUAUUCACACCUGCUCCUCAUCAUCAGACACACCUGGCAACCUUCAUUACUCACACCUGCUCCUCAUCAUCAGACACACCUGGCAACCUUCAUUACUCACCUGUUCCUCAUCAUCAGACACACCUGGCAACCUUCAUUACUCACCUGCUCCUCAUCAUUACACACACCUGGCAACCUUCUUUACUCACCUGUUCCUCAUCAUUACACACACCUGGCAACCUUCAUUACUCACCUGCUCCUCAUCAUUACACACACAUGGCAACCUUCAUUACUCACCUGUUCCUCAUCAUUACACACACCUGGCAACCUUCAUUACUCACCUGUUCCUCAUCAUCAGACACACCUGGCAACCUUCAUUACUCACCUGUUCCUCAUCAUCAGACACACCUGGUUAUGUUUCUAUGUUAGACUGUUGUUAUCUCCCAUCAGUCAGUACUGGUUAUGUUUCUAUGUUAGACUGUUGUUAUCUCCCAUCAGUCAGUACUGGUUAUGUUUCUAUGUUAGACUGUUGUUACCUCCCAUCAGUCAGUACUGGUUAUGUUUCUAUGUUAGACUGUUGUUAUCUCCCAUCAGUCAGUACUGGUUAUGUUUCUAUGUUAGACUGUUGUUAUCUCCCAUCAGCCAGUACUGGUUAUGUUUCUAUGUUAGACUGUUGUUAUCUCCCAUCAGUCAGUACUGGUUAUGUUUCUAUGUUAGACUGUUGUUAUCUCCCAUCAGUCAGUACUGGUUAUGUUUCUAAUUUAGACACUUCUCUUGUUUUGUAUCGUUCCAUGUUCUUCAUCAUUAAACUCACUAACUGCACUUGCUUCCUGACUCCCUGCAUCUGUGUUACACUUUAUGAUCAGACACUAAUCAUUCUGUUGUUACUACUGUAUGAUACUGAGAGAACAGGACACUAA
RNAcentral lists this long non-coding RNA (1227 nucleotides) under Oncorhynchus kisutch (coho salmon). Its description in RNAcentral is "lncRNA (ENSOKIG00005045229.1)". The record is from RNAcentral. Lineage: Eukaryota; Metazoa; Chordata; Actinopteri; Salmoniformes; Salmonidae.